Molecule: ribosomal RNA, 465 nt
Filed under: uncultured bacterium
Lineage: Bacteria
Description: partial 16S ribosomal RNA
Rfam family: Bacterial small subunit ribosomal RNA
Source: RNAcentral
CCUACCGGAGGCAGCAGUAGGGAAUCUUCCACAAUGGGCGAAAGCCUGAUGGAGCAACGCCGCGUGGGUGAAGAAGGUCUUCGGAUCGUAAAACCCUGUUGUUAGAGAAGAAAGUGCGUGAGAGUAACUGUUCACGUUUCGACGGUAUCUAACCAGAAAGCCACGGCUAACUACGUGCCAGCAGCCGCGGUAAUACGUAGGUGGCAAGCGUUAUCCGGAUUUAUUGGGCGUAAAGGGAACGCAGGCGGUCUUUUAAGUCUGAUGUGAAAGCCUUCGGCUUAACCGGAGUAGUGCAUUGGAAACUGGGAGACUUGAGUGCAGAAGAGGAGAGUGGAACUCCAUGUGUAGCGGUGAAAUGCGUAGAUAUAUGGAAGAACACCAGUGGCGAAGGCGGCUCUCUAGUCUGUAACUGACGCUGAGGUUCGAAAGCGUGGGUAGCAAACAGGAUUAGAUACCCGAGUAGUC